Molecule: ribosomal RNA, 468 nt
Filed under: uncultured bacterium
Lineage: Bacteria
Description: partial 16S ribosomal RNA
Rfam family: Bacterial small subunit ribosomal RNA
Source: RNAcentral
GACGAACGCUGGCGGCGUGCUUAACACAUGCAAGUCGAACGGAAAGGCCCUGCUUUUGUGGGGUGCUCGAUUGGCGAACGGGUGAGUAACACGUGAGUAACCUGCCCUUGACUUUGGGAUAACUUCAGGAAACUGGGGCUAAUACCGGAUAGGAGCUCCUGCUGCAUGGUGGGGGUUGGAAAGUUUCGGCGGUGGGGGAUGGACUCGCGGCUUAUCAGCUUGUUGGUGGGGUAGUGGCUUACCAAGGCUUUGACGGGUAGCCGGCCUGAGAGGGUGAACGGCCACAUUGGGCCUGAGAUACGGACCAGACGCGUACGGGAGGCAGCAGUGGGGAGUAUUGCACAAUGGGCGGAAGCCUGAUGCAGCAACGCUGCGUGCGGGAUGCCGGCCUUCGGGUGGUGAACCGCUGUCGAAUGUGACGAAGAGUGAGUGACGGUAAUGGGUAAGGAAGCACCGGCUAACUACGUG